RNAcentral lists this ribosomal RNA (465 nucleotides) under uncultured bacterium. RNAcentral describes it as "partial 16S ribosomal RNA". It matches the Rfam family "Bacterial small subunit ribosomal RNA", at positions 28 to 507 of the family's 1533-position model. The record is from RNAcentral.
GACGAACGCUGGCGGCGUGCUUAACACAUGCAAGUCGUACGGUAAGGCCCUUUCGGGGGUCCACGAGUGGCGAACGGGUGAGUAACACGGGAGUAACCUGCCCACAACUUUUGGAUAACGCUAGGAAACUGGGGCUAAUACUGGAUAUGUGCCCCUGCUGCAUGGGGGGGGUUGGAAAGCUCCGGCGGUUGUGGAUGGACUCGCGGCCUAUUAGCUUGUUGGUGGGGUAGUGGGCUACCAAGGCAGCGAAGGGUAGCCGGCCUGAGAGGGUGACCGGCCACAUUGGGACUGCGAUACGGCCCAGACUCCUACGGGAGGCAGCAGUGGGGAAUCUUGCACAAUGGGCGCAAGCCUGAUGCAGCAACGCCGCGUGCGGGAUGACGGCCUUCGGGUUGUAAACCGCUUUCAGCAGGGACGAAGCUUUUUGUGACGGUACCUGCAGAAGAAGCACCGGCUAACUACGUG